GAUGAACGCUGGCGGCGUGCCUAAUACAUGCAAGUCGAGCGAACAGACGAGGAGCUUGCUCCUCUGACGUUAGCGGCGGACGGGUGAGUAACACGUGGAUAACCUACCUAUAAGACUGGGAUAACUUCGGGAAACCGGAGCUAAUACCGGAUAACAUGUUGAACCGCAUGGUUCAACAGUGAAAGACGGUCUUGCUGUCACUUAUAGAUGGAUCCGCGCCGCAUUAGCUAGUUGGUAAGGUAACGGCUUACCAAGGCAACGAUGCGUAGCCGACCUGAGAGGGUGAUCGGCCACACUGGAACUGAGACACGGUCCAGACUCCUACGGGAGGCAGCAGUAGGGAAUCUGCCGCAAUGGGCGAAGGCCUGACGGAGCAACGCCGCGUGAGUGAAGAAGGUCUUCGGAUCGUAAAACUCUGUUAUUAGGGAAGAACAAAUGUGUAAGUAACUAUGCACGUCUUGACGGUACCUAAUCAGAAAGCCACGGCUAACUACGUG
This 497-nucleotide ribosomal RNA is filed under the name uncultured bacterium. RNAcentral's name for it is "partial 16S ribosomal RNA". It matches the Rfam family "Bacterial small subunit ribosomal RNA", at positions 28 to 507 of the family's 1533-position model. The record is from RNAcentral.